Molecule: ribosomal RNA, 301 nt
Filed under: uncultured bacterium
Lineage: Bacteria
Description: partial 16S ribosomal RNA
Rfam family: Bacterial small subunit ribosomal RNA
Source: RNAcentral
CAGUCGCCGCGGUAAUGCGUAGGUGGCAAGCGUUGUCCGGAAUUAUUGGGCGUAAAGGGCUCGCAGGCGGUUUCUUAAGUCUGAUGUGAAAGCCCCCGGCUCAACCGGGGAGGGUCAUUGGAAACUGGGAAACUUGGGUGCAGAAGAGGAGAGUGGAAUUUCACGUGUAGCGGUGAAACGCGUAGAGAUGUGGAGGAACACCAGUGGCGAAGGCGACUCUCUGGUCUGUAACUGACGCUGAGGAGCGAAAGCGUGGGGAGCGAACAGGAUUAGAUACCCCUGUAGUCCCUGUCUCUUAUAA